RNAcentral lists this ribosomal RNA (301 nucleotides) under uncultured bacterium. RNAcentral describes it as "partial 16S ribosomal RNA". It matches the Rfam family "Bacterial small subunit ribosomal RNA", at positions 509 to 807 of the family's 1533-position model. The record is from RNAcentral.
CAGUAGCCGCGGUAACACGUAGGGGGCAAGCGUUGUCCGGAAUUACUGGGCGUAAAGCGUGCGCAGGCGGUUCGUUAAGACAGAUGUGAAAUCCCCGGGCUUAACCUGGGAACUGCAUUUGUGACUGGCGAGCUAGAGUAUGGCAGAGGGGGGUAGAAUUCCACGUGUAGCAGUGAAAUGCGUAGAGAUGUGGAGGAAUACCGAUGGCGAAGGCAGCCCCCUGGGCCAAUACUGACGCUCAUGCACGAAAGCGUGGGGAGCAAACAGGAUUAGAUACCCCUGUAGUCCCUGUCUCUUAUAC